Non-coding RNA from Odocoileus virginianus texanus, 924 nucleotides. Lineage: Eukaryota; Metazoa; Chordata; Mammalia; Artiodactyla; Cervidae. The record is from RefSeq and is a predicted model, not a curated record.
GGGUUCAAAGCAGGAGCAGUGCAGGUUUAGGAUGGGUCUUAAAUGAUGUUCACAAUCAUGGGAGAUGGAUUGGAAGGAAAUAAAAUUGGAAGCAGAGAUCCCAAAGAGAAGAUAAUUUAAAUAGCAUAGUAAGAGUUGAAAUCCUAAGAUAAAGGUAACAGUAGGAAUUACUAGUAGACAAGGAGAAUUUGAAAAGAACACACACACACACAAGUAAAAAGUCAGUCUUGUUUGAUCAAGGAAAUAUUCCAAGUUUUGCAGGUUAAGACAAUAAAGGCAAAGAUAACACAUGGAUCAAAAUCAUUUGAGACAGAGCUCACCUUUAUUGAUUGCAUCAACUGAAACAGCUUCCAUUAAGAGGAUCGGUGAGCAGGAGUAUGAAUUCCAUCAACAACAUGAGCAACUACUUUCACUGGACUCAUUAAAUUACUUAAAGCUCUAUUCCUUGGUCUUUCCUGCUACAGCAUGUUACAUAACAUCUACCUAUUGGGAUUGCUAUAAGAAUGGAUCUAAGAGUAUUUCUCAAGUACUUCAGGUUUUAGGAAAGUAUCUUACGUCAGUGGAACUGGUCCUGAGCAUGCAGCAAUGUGAACGCAAAGAAAGGAACUCCGGUGCAGGCGCAAAAGUCCAGAAGACAAUCAGCACGUCUGGUUUGAGGACCAGAUUUUACACAAAGAGCUGAAUAACCUUGGACAGGUCAAAUGAACUUUACAGCACUCAGUUCUCUUAUGUUUGAAAUGUAUGUAUUAAGAGGUAUGUCAUGUAUGCUAAGGCAAAAUGGAUUUCAUGUGCAGAUGUGUAAAAGGGGAGUUUCUGCGGAAUAGGGGGAGGUAUGCUGUAAGGGAUCAGGAGUAGGCAGUACAUACGUAAGAAAACAAGGAGUUAGAGAGUGAAUAGUGAUUUUUCAGGGUUGGAAGUGAAUGA